AUGCAGAAAUCUAUGAUCAGUACACCAAUGCUACCUAGCAAAUUCCUCUGCCUCAAGUACUUGCAUAUUUCUCUAAUUGGAGAUGAGGCUAUUUCACCAGCUUAUGAUUACCUUUCUCUGGUUUCUUUUCUUGAAGCUUCUCCUUGCCUGGAGACAUUCAUCUUGGAAGUGCGGCAGCCUUACAUGAAGCAUGAUUCAGUUGUCGAGGAUUCCUCACACCUAAGGUGGCUACCACAGCAGCGUCACAACAGCCUAAAGAGUGUGACAAUCGUCGGCUUCUGCUCCGCAAAGAGCUUGGUCGAGUUGACAUGCCACAUUGUUGAGAAUGCGACAUCGCUCGAGCGCCUCACGUUAGACACCACUCAUGGUUGUCAGAGUUCUGGUGGGUGUAGCGUCGAUAAACCUAACAGAUGGUUCUAUGCAGAGAGGGGUAUCCUCAUGGCGGCCCCGCCUGACCGAUGCCUCCCUAUGGGGGAGGAUAUCCUCAUGGAGUCUCACAGGGCGCGUUUGGCUAUCAGAAGACAUGUCGAACGGCAAGUUCCCUCUGGAGUCGUGUUAAAAGUCGUCGAGCCUUGCAGUCGGUGCAUAAUGUUGAACUUUUAG
RNAcentral lists this ribosomal RNA (603 nucleotides) under Triticum aestivum (bread wheat). RNAcentral describes it as "partial small subunit ribosomal RNA". The record is from RNAcentral. Lineage: Eukaryota; Viridiplantae; Streptophyta; Magnoliopsida; Poales; Poaceae.